This 492-nucleotide ribosomal RNA is filed under the name uncultured bacterium. Its description in RNAcentral is "partial 16S ribosomal RNA". It matches the Rfam family "Bacterial small subunit ribosomal RNA", at positions 29 to 507 of the family's 1533-position model. The record is from RNAcentral.
AGUGAACGCUGGCGGUAGGCCUAACACAUGCAAGUCGAACGGCAGCACAGUAAGAGCUUGCUCUUACGGGUGGCGAGUGGCGGACGGGUGAGGAAUACAUCGGAAUCUACUUUUUCGUGGGGGAUAACGUAGGGAAACUUACGCUAAUACCGCAUACGACCUACGGGUGAAAGCAGGGGAUCUUCGGACCUUGCGCGAUUGAAUGAGCCGAUGUCGGAUUAGCUAGUUGGCGGGGUAAAGGCCCACCAAGGCGACGAUCCGUAGCUGGUCUGAGAGGAUGAUCAGCCACACUGGAACUGAGACACGGUCCAGACUCCUACGGGCGGCAGCAGUGGGGAAUAUUGGACAAUGGGCGCAAGCCUGAUCCAGCCAUGCCGCGUGGGUGAAGAAGGCCUUCGGGUUGUAAAGCCCUUUUGUUGGGAAAGAAAAGCAGCAGGUUAAUACCCCGCUGUUCUGACGGUACCCAAAGAAUAAGCACCGGCUAACUUCGUG